Long non-coding RNA from Oncorhynchus tshawytscha (Chinook salmon), 3845 nucleotides. The record is from Ensembl. Lineage: Eukaryota; Metazoa; Chordata; Actinopteri; Salmoniformes; Salmonidae.
CAAAAUGGCAGCAACAUUGCAAAUAAGCGAGUUUGAUAGUGAAGACCAAAUAAUUAAAGAAAUAGCAAAACAAGAAGAGACAACGUCGUUGAAAUACAUAAUCUUGCGCAAAGACAAACGUUUUGGGCGAAAGGAUGCACACCCUUUGGAAGGAAAGAAGAUCAGCUGGGAGGUAAAAAGUCACCCAUUCAAUGGAGUUCCAUUUCAGGUUGUGGGCACAAGCACAUAUGAAUGCCAUCAGGGGAAAGACCGACAAGUAAAAGCUAAAGAGAAACAUGCUGCUAAAAUGAACAAGAAGGCGUUACGUAUAAAUUGGUGGAUGAGCUUGAAGACCAUGCCUUAAAGAGACGGAAACAAAAUACAAAGAAGGUGGACUGCAAGGCUUUAAUAAACAUCGCCCACAUUAUCCGCUUUCCUGGUUUUAAGAUUGAGGAGAGUACUGUGCGCUCUAAAAAGGAGGCCUCCAAAGAUCUGAAGGCAGCUCUAAGUGAAAAACCAAGCUCUGUGAAGGCAGAGGUUGUCUACUGUGUCAGGUUCCCCUCUCUCUCUGAGCAUAGCUCACACGCACUUGUUGGUGAGAGGUCCUCUAAGAAGAACUUGAAGAUGUUGCAGAAGCAAUGUGCAGGCUAUCUAAAAGAAAUCACAGACCUCACCUAUCAUCUUCAAGAUGAACAGUACAUGACUGGCCUGUCUUCACAUCUGCAAAGCCUAUUGCAGGAAAUGAAAGGACUUGUCCCACAGGAUAAAGAUCUCACACUGACCCUUUCCCCAAGGAAGAGAAAGGCUGAGGAGGACAUGGCCACCCUACCAACCCAGGGAGCAUCGCAACCUUUCACCGACAGUGUAGGACAGCAUGCAGAUUUACAGAACACAUGCGAAGAACCAUGUUUGCCAAAUUGAGUGUGGAGUGAGAUUGCUUAUAGGCAGGGAGCCUAGGGCGCCGGAGGAUGGCAGUGUAUAUAUAUAUAUAUAUAUAUAUAUAUAUAUAUGUAUAUAUGUGUUGAGUCUGUUUUUUUCCCCAGAAUAUUUUAUUUUUGAGAGCUGGGUUUUGUGGUAACCCAAGCCUGCCAGCAUACUUGUUGUACAAUUAAUAUUAAAAUGGUAAUAAAAUAAAAAUACAAUUGGGUGAUAAUCCUGUAUGCAGUGGUGGAAAAAUAACCCAAUUGUCAUACUUGAGUAAAAGUAAAGAUGCCUUAAUAGAAAAUGAAAGUCACCCAAUAAAAAACUACUUCAGUAAAAGUCUAAAAGUAUUUGGUUUUAAAUAUACCUAAGUAUCAAAAGUAAACAACUGCUAAAAUAUAUUUAAGUAUCGAAAGUAAAAGUAUAAAUCAUUUAAAAUUCCUUAUAUUAAGCAAACCAGAUGGCACCAUUUUCUUGUUCUUUUUAUUUAUUUAUGGAUAGUCAGGUGCACACUCUAACACUCAAGACAUCAUUUACAAAGGAAGCAUUUGUGUUUAGUGAGUCUGCUAGAUCAGUAAGGAUGACCAGGGAUUAGUUAUGUGUGAAUUGGAAAAAUGUUCUGUCUUGCUAAGCAUUCAAAAUAUAAUACUUUUGGGUGUAACGGAAAGCAUAGAUUAUAUGAUGAUGUUGAAAUGGUACUGGAAUAGUGGAGGCAGCUCCUGUUUUCUUUGUGACUUGUGAUAACACUCUGUGGUUCUAAAUUAAUAGUUGUUUACUAGUCCGAAAAUGGCGGAAACAUUAACCUGCUUGACCCUGCUGUAGGUCAUUUAAUACCACAUGCUUUGUGGACUUCACCAGACAGCUGUUGCUCUCCGGUUUUGUGAUGAAACAAAGGUGUGGUUGAAUUUGUACUGUCCCAGCCCUGGCUAUACUUCAGCCCAUAAUGGCCUCUCUCAGACCUUCUCCAGGUAACGCCCCACUCAUCUACAUCUCAUACAUGAUCAUACUCUGAAGAUGCUGAUGCUGUAAAAUACGGUUUCUCUAAGCUGCUGGUAUGGAUGUUUGGUUAUUACCUGUGUAUGUGUGGAUGGAUGCUGUGUUUAAUGGGGUGCUGUUGUUUUCUGUAAAUCCUCUCCAUGGCUGUUAUAUAAGGUGUGCUUCUAUUAUUAACCUGUACUCUUACCACUGAUUAGCUGUUCUCUCAAUGCAGGAGGUGGGUAUUUCACUGGGUGCAAUGGGGAGAUUAUGGCUGGUUAGUCCACCUUUGGAACUUAUGUUAUUUUAGUACAUUUUUCUUUCUAUUUGAUAGUCGAGCUAAAUAACUUAAAGUGCAUACAUUAUCCUAAUUUUGUCGUAUUUCAUGUCACUGUUACUGCGCAGUUAGCUGAUUAUGACCAAUUCCCAUCAUUGAAUAAUUGUUGUUUAGAGCCAGGAGUUUUUCCUGACUUUAACAGGAAAAUCUCUUCACCCUAUCUAUAACUUGGGCCCAUAGUUGUUCCUGACCGUCUGGCCAUGAAAAUGAUUAGCCCUUCUCAUUGGUUUCCACUAGUUUCUAUCGUCCCAAGGUCCUGUUCCACAGUCACAACGUCGGGUUCCACAGCCACAAAGUCAAAAUUAGCUACAAAAUUAAUUUUUGGUUUAAAGUUAGUGUUAGGCAUAAGGUUAGGUUGAAAAUCUAAUUUUAAGAAGAUAAAUUGUGGAAAUGGGCAUGGUUUGUGACUGUGUCUAUAAAAGCUACUGACGACCCUUUUCAUGUGAUACUCUUCCUGUUGUGAUGCAGUCGGCCAUGUUUUUGGGGAUUGGUCAGCAGUCUGCCUCACCCCUGGUGGCUGGGGGUGCUGACUGGGUUUCUUCUUGAGAGUGUUCCUUGGGCCCCAUAAAAAAGGCUACAUUAAAACACGUAACUUGUUUCAUGAUUUAUAGGUCUGUUGCUUGAAUAUAUAAAUUAUUUUCAGACAAUGCACUUUUCCCAUUAAUUUUAACAUGUAUAGCAGGUUGUGUGUGAAUUGGAAAGAUGUUCUGUCUUGCUAAGCAUUCAAAAUGUAAUACUUUUGGGUGUAACAGAAAAAGUAUAGAGUAAAAAGUAAAUUAUUUUCUUUAGGAAUGUAGUGAAGUAAAAGUUGUCAAAUAUAUGUAAUAUAGUACAGAUACCCCAAAAAGCUACCUAAGUAGUACUUUAAAGUAUGUUUACUUAAGUGCUUUACACCACUGCUUGUAUGUGGUGCAUUUCCACAUCCAGUACCCAGGUCAGGUCUUCUGUCUGAUUCCCUCCUUGGUGGAGUACUGUGGCUAGCAAUAUCCCUGUGAUCCUUCCAUGUCCGUGUUGCCGAGGGUUAAGAGUAUAAAUCGUAGAUUCAUAAUAUUACAUUGUAUUACACUCUCUAAACUUGUUCUAUGGAUUUCUUGGCCAAAAUCUGUUAACUGUUUUUUUUAAUACAUUUUGAGAUCUGGCUGUGGAACCCCUGCAAUAGCUCCGCGCAACCCAUUUGUAGAACCUUUAUACGUUCAUUGUGUGGUCUUGUCGGUUUCCACUCCAAUAUAAGAGAGAUCUCAAAAAUGGAGAAUGCAGUGAUAAGGCUAUAAUAUUUUAGGAUAUGUGGUUUUGGUCUGUGAUAUAGUCUUGAGUGACUUUGAUAUGAAAGUGAAACACUCUUAUACUUUCACAUGUUAUCUUGUUUAGCUGAUUAGGCCAUGUAUCUGAUUCACCUGGGAAUACACUACCCUCCCCAGAACCUGUUUUAUCUCUCUUGUCAUUCUAUAAUUGCAUACAGUUGCAUAACUGUUUGUCUGUGGAUUUUGGUGGGGGAAACAAGGUCUAACACAUUCUAAAAGUUAUCUGAUUACUUUACAUAAUGUGAUGCAUUUCAAAUUGUUUGCUUUUUUACACCCGUUAGUGGAUUUGGUAUUCCACACACCUUUCUUUGUACAUAAAAUAAAAAUGCAAC